Molecule: small nuclear RNA, 21 nt
Filed under: Arabidopsis thaliana (thale cress)
Lineage: Eukaryota; Viridiplantae; Streptophyta; Magnoliopsida; Brassicales; Brassicaceae
Description: snRNA_17561
Source: RNAcentral
UGAGAAAGCUUCUCCUAGAGU